This 265-nucleotide long non-coding RNA is filed under the name Capsicum annuum. Its description in RNAcentral is "long non-coding RNA (CANN_LNC014729)". Lineage: Eukaryota; Viridiplantae; Streptophyta; Magnoliopsida; Solanales; Solanaceae. The record is from RNAcentral.
CAACUUACAUGUAAAUGUACUAAGGUUCAAGUUUGCUCCUACAUACCAUACCCCAUUAUGUCUACAUUCCAUGCACUAUUCAUUCAUUGUUGUACCUCAUUGCCCUCAUGGAGCCAGAAAGUGUAAUAGGUAUCUCUCAACUCUAGUAAAGUUGCAUGAAUUCUACAUGUUCAAUCCUAUACUUCCCAACUGUUCAGUUUUUCCUCUUCAAUCCUAUCUAUGUUGAUGAAAGGGAGCAGGUACCUAGUGGAAUAGUAGUGCACGC